UGUAAGCGUAUACCAAAGUUGUUGCAGUUAAAACGCUCGUAGUCGGAAUUUGGCAGUUCCGGAUGUGUGCACGUCGUGUGCGCACUUCGCGGGGAUUGCUUUUGUGGUCUUGCGUAGGAUGAGGCACUUUUAUUAGUGAACGUCCUCACGCAACCACUUUUUACUGUGAGAAAAUCAGAGUGCUCAAAGCAGGCAUUUACCGUGAAUGUAUUAGCAUGGAAUAAUAGAAUAGGACUUGGUUCUAUUUUGUUGGUUCGUUGGGACUGAGUAAUGAUUAAGAGGGACAGUUGGGGGCAUUUGUAUUUCGGUGCUAGAGGUGAAAUUCUUAGAUUACCGAAAGACGAACUGCUGCGAAAGCGUCUGCCAAGGAUGUUUUCAUUGA
This 382-nucleotide ribosomal RNA is filed under the name uncultured eukaryote. RNAcentral describes it as "partial 18S ribosomal RNA". It matches the Rfam family "Eukaryotic small subunit ribosomal RNA", at positions 592 to 976 of the family's 1831-position model. The record is from RNAcentral.